RNAcentral lists this ribosomal RNA (227 nucleotides) under uncultured bacterium. Its description in RNAcentral is "partial 16S ribosomal RNA". It matches the Rfam family "Bacterial small subunit ribosomal RNA", at positions 1273 to 1500 of the family's 1533-position model. The record is from RNAcentral.
CCAGAAAAGACCAUCUCAGUUCGGAUUGUAGUCUGCAACCGACUACAUGAAGCUGGAAUCGCUAGUAAUCGCGAAUCAGAAUGUCGCGGUGAAUACGUUCCCGGGUCUUGUACACACCGCCCGUCACACCAUGGGAGUCGGAUAUGCCCGAAGCCGGUGACCUAACCGCAAGGAAGGAGCCGUCGAAGGUGGAGCCGAUGACUGGGGUGAAGUCGUAACAAGGUACC